Long non-coding RNA from Dromaius novaehollandiae (emu), 332 nucleotides. NCBI's taxonomy places the organism in Eukaryota, Metazoa, Chordata, Aves, Casuariiformes, Dromaiidae. The record is from Ensembl.
CAGACAGCUGCCAGUGCAUAUCAGGAACAGCUCGGGAGCUAGUCUCCCCCAGCAUCGGUCCUUCAGGCUUGAGGGAAUCUCUAGCCAGUGAGCCGGUGUCAGACCACAGUAGGAGGCUGAGUUCCUGGGAGCUGGCUGAGGUUUGCUUAUCCUGUCCAAAGUGUCCUCCCUCAGACUUCUGAGAGCCGAACACUGACAGAGUGGGGGACUCCAGCAUGCCCGAGGGUCUGUGCUAAAGCUAACCUUUCAGUGAGCUUCACCAGCUCCUCCCUCUACUUGUGCAGGCUCAGCAGAAAGAGAGGCUGUGUCUGAUUCUCCCUUCAAGGUUUCUC